CCAAGUUUCCUAUACAACAUUCUGACUAUGUCUACGUAGUGCAUGCCUUGGCUGUAUCUGAUCUACAGAUCGUUCGGGUUGCAUUGCUAGGAAGUUAGCAGUUUGUGAAUGAGAUCCAUGUCCGGGGACUAUGCCCCACUGCAUGGAUCGCCUAUGAUACAGAAAUGAACUUGAACGGCUUGGGCUGUAACACACCAUUAUGGCCUGAGCUUGACUCGUUCAUCCGCCGACUCUGACUGGAGCGGCCAUGUAGUUGCGCGCAGGUGGUAACGUUCUGCGUGUGACUUAUUGGUUGCACCCUACGAAUUGCAAAUAUUCAGUCAGAGACCCGGUACGUUGCAAACCUUCUCCCUUCGGGUGAGUCCUCUGUGUACUUUCAAAUAUUUUAAACAACCUUGGCUAAGAGCGGUGUGGCGUUGGUAGCAAUACUGACAAUGCGCUGUUCUGGCUCGGUGCGCGUUGCCUUCGGGUGACAAACGCCAACCUUUA
Molecule: unclassified non-coding RNA, 489 nt
Filed under: Dactylogyrus carpathicus
Lineage: Eukaryota; Metazoa; Platyhelminthes; Monogenea; Dactylogyridea; Dactylogyridae
Description: internal transcribes spacer 1
Source: RNAcentral